CACACUUUCGACUAUUUUCGGGCUUUUGUAUCAAUUUAUUAAAGUUUUUAAUUUUCUCUAAUAUUAUUUAAGCUAUUUUAAUUUAAAAUCAAAAUGAGCUAAUUCCGUGACUCAAAAAAUUUUAGCACAGUUGAAAUAAUUUAUUCAAUUAUUUCAGUAUUAGGUCGGAUCUGGUCAUACUAUUUUAUGAAAUUUGAAAAGGACUCCAGCUAAAUAACAUAUGAUCCAGGUUUCAAAAAAAGUUGCUGUUUUGGUGGUUUUUUUGAACAUUUUGUUUUGAACUUUUAAAAAAUGGGAAAUAAGCGCAAGGAAUCGAAUGUAGCUCAGAAUAAAAAUAAUCCUUCCAAACUCCUGAAUAUGUAUACGAGUUGCAAGGAUGGGAAUCGGAACUAGUAUGAGUUAGAAGAAACUGGUUAAUUUCUGAAAUUUGCUUAAGGAUCCAAAGACCAUAGCUCCUCUAAAUGUGAAAUUUAGAAUCCUAAGACUUCAUGAUUGGAUUUCAAGAUCAGUUAAAUUUUUCCUUCCAUACAUAAUCCUAUCUAGAAGGUAAUUUAGAAACCCAAAACAACGUAUUUAAACCCCCAAAAUGAUCAUAUCUACCUACUUAACUGAUCAAUAGGGGUUUCAUGAAAAAUUCUUUAAUAAAAAAACCUUCAAAAUAUGGUUUCUUAUUUGACUAAUUAGAUGUUUGAAAUAAAGCUUCUUG
Molecule: long non-coding RNA, 706 nt
Organism: Drosophila ananassae
Lineage: Eukaryota; Metazoa; Arthropoda; Insecta; Diptera; Drosophilidae
Exons: 2
Source: RefSeq, a predicted model, not a curated record